GGAUGCGAAUGGUCACAAGCUGGCUUUAGAGACAGCUACGUUAAUUAUCCCCGCGGUUCCCUGAGCAGCAAGCGUCUGGCCGGCAGAAAAGGAGAGGCUUCGCCUUGUGUCCAGAUGGAGCACGUGGUGAAAGCGGGGUCAGAAUACGGUUCUGCUCACCCGCUUUCUGCAGGGUAAUCCUGUAUCCCUUGCAAACAGGGAAGGACUGCAGGACAUCACUUCAGUGUGUACCAGUAACCACCAAAGGCAACUUUGCAAAGGGACUACUUGCAUUUUAUGAGCAUGCUGGGAUGAAGACUGGUCACCUAUUUACUAGCUUUCCUGGAAAAGCAACAGAGCAUCUUCCAAAUGAGGCCAGAAGCUUAAGUCCUGGAUGGGACACAGUCACUUACUGUCCUAGGGCUUCGUCACAACACUUGGCAUGGAGAAGGUGAACAAGGAUAGAAAAGAGAGUGGCCUAGAAAGUGGCUGCAUCAAAAAGAAAGAGACAACGCACACACAAAGUGAGGCGCUUGUUUCCGUAGGAUAUUGUAGGUACUAAAAAGUUGCAGGGGCUUAAGAACCAGCUGGACAAAUUCAAGGAAGAAAAGCCCAUCCAGGGCUAUUAAACACAGAGACACCAUCUCUAGCUCAGGAAGUCUCUGACCCACAAACCACUGGUCUGGUGGAGUAUUUAAGAGAAGAAUGACUGUAUAUUUGGCCUGUUUUUAUACUGUCUGUAAGCUUUUGCAAUUGGCUGCAGUUGGAGGUAGUUAUCUUUACUGCUCGAUGGAUCUUUUAUCUGGCUCCUUUGGCUCCUGGAGACAUUCUGCAGAAAUCACAACAGCUUUGCUUAUCCUGCUUAGCUGGUCUCGGCUAAUAAAUCUCAGUUCAUCCAGACAAUGUUCGGAAGGUGAAAGAAAAUGCUCAAAGAGCAAAAAUGCCCCCAAUCUUGCUUUUGUGAAACAGAGCUAUCCACCCAGGCCCUGUUGUUUGCUGUUACAGACAUCCAAAUUUAGGAAACAUAUGGGCGUGGGCAUAUUUAGAGUCAUUGACCACACGCAUGACAUAGCACUGGUUACUAAAACUGACCUGAGGUUGUUUGUCUUGCAGGAUAUGGUAAGGAGGCUUGGGCUGAGUAUCAUUGACUAAGGUCACAAGAGUUAAGCUUGAAAUAGCAGAACUUGAGAACUUUUGGGAUGUAAACAGGUGACCGAAGGGAGUAUGUCAGAGGCUUUUUGCAAGGGAUAAUCAUUGACCAGAACUGUUGGCAUGUAAGCCCUGCUCCGAGAAGGGCUCUACUGCCCGUGUAGCAGUGCUAGCAACAAAAAAAAUUAGCUCUGACUUCACUGUAAGUUAAUUAUAUUCCUAGGGAUUUGUAAUUCCAGUUGUAUGUCCUAAUAACUUAAAAGAGUGAUUAUAAACACCGCAUGAGAGAGCUCAUCUUAGUGCUCGCAAGCCAGAACAAGAGAUGGAGACCUCCAUCCCUCCCUUGCGGUUUGUGUUUCAAGUUUAGCUCUUAUAGCUAAAAUUGCUGUUACAUUUCCCUUUUAACCUUCAUUCCCAAGGAAAGAAAGCAUAUGCACUCAUAUUGCCUGUCUAGCCAUCUUCUUCCCUGCCAACUUUUGAAUCUGCAGGCUGAGUUCCUGCAGGUUUUAUGAAAUCCAGUUUCUAGGCAAAGUAAAAAGAUCCGGAAUCGUGUCUCUCCUUAGGGAAAGGAACCAGGAGGAGCUUGGCAAUGCCCUACACAGUUCGAGGUGUGCUGGAGAGUUGGCACACAGGCACUGGCCAGCCAGCGUGUCCUGCUUACGGGAUACGGGCAGCAGGGAGGGUAUGGGGUGGGGAGUAGCGGGGCUGGCAGUAUCACGAGGUCUUCAAGAGGACUAGAGGAGAUGGAGGUUAUUGUGGAAAGGAAGGGAAAUCGGACCCAAGAGCUUAGGAAACUGUGCUUUGUUCCGCUGCUCAAAGAAUGACUUAACACCACUUGUCUGUGUUUGAAGGCCCUUUGAAAAAGGAGGCUCUUGAACCCUAAAAUCUGUCUCCAAACAAAUCCGUUAGGUUUGAUGUGAUUAUUUGCUGCUGCGGGGUUUCCCAGAGGAACGCAGGCAGCCCGAGCUCCGGGGCGAGAAUUCACGGAACUGGGAGGCAGCAGGGUUCACCCGCUGCAUAUCAAUUCUUCCAGCUGGCAUCAGGCUUCAUGGUCCAGUUCCAAGUGCCGCCACUGAAAACAAACUCCUUUUCUGAAGAGUUGGGAACUCAGAUGUUCCCAGGAGAAAACAGUCCGGGGGCAUAAGCACAGCUUAGGUAAAGAUCGCUUUUGAAUGUAAAUCACUAAUGCUUUCUGCAGUGUUCAUCCGUCUUUAAGGUUUCUAUCCUUCCCCUCUGCUCCAGUCAAGACGUGUCUGUGCUGCUGUGGCCUUCACUUUAGGAAUGCUUUGCUAAAAAAAAGAAGGCUCGUACCCUGACCAGUAUAAUUGUGUUGGGAAAAGCCCACUGUAGAUUUAACUAAUAAUAAAAAAUAAGACCCUUUGCUAAGGGAUCUUACUGUUUUUGGUGGUAAUUCCCCUAUACUAACAAGCAACAUUUUUUGGUGGUGUAAGCUGGAUCUCCAUGUAAGGAUUUUUGUACAGAUUUUGAAGAGUAUGCUAAUUUUCCAGUACUGGCAACUUCCUCUGUUAAAUUAGUUGCUUAAGGAAUCACCUCCGCUGAGCAAUGGCCCUAGAAAUUGGGCAAAAAGGAUGACUGGGUUCCUGCUCUUCCAGGGUCUCCCAGCCUCUUUGCAACCAACUUUCAAUGACCAUGGCCAGGCAACCGGGAUUAAAUAACCAAGGUAACACCUUCCUCCCAAAGUGGUGUUACUGCCAACGCAAGCCAUCUUGUCACUCCUGGGGAGCAGAAGGUGUAGUUCUGGGGUGAUUACAUGGAAAUCAGCAAUUCUCUAGUGCGUGUCCACCCUAACUGAAUGUCUUGACGCUCGUGAAGCAGCAGAUUUCACUGGCACUGCUGAAGCUGGUUUUGCCCCAUCUGCUCAACCUUCUGCUAUUGUGGGUGGCUGCAGAGGCCACGCAUGAACUGAAAUUAGGAGCAGUUUAUAUUCCCACCGUGGACUGUGAAUGGUGCCAUAUAGCCACAUCUGCUAUGGAGACAGUAACCUCCGGGCAGGUGGGAGCAGGCGGCUGGACACGACAGCUUCCUCAGCACUUGCAGCUACGUGUGACACUGAACGGAGCCAUCACGUUGAGGGAUUUGAAUUCAUGUUGGCAAUAAAAGACUGAAAGAGGCAAAGAGUUUCUGAUCCCCAUGGAUUUGACACUCAGACAGAAUCGAUCGAUGAUGCAGACAAAUUUCCUCCACAGUCUUAUGAAGUCUAUGAAAAAACAAACAAACAACCCCCCCCCCAAACUGAUCUCGUUCAGCUCCAAAAUUCUCUCUUUUUCAAGUAGAAACUCCUUUUUCAUGACUGCAGGGUGGAUUGCUGCCUGUCAGAGGCUUGCUUCACUCUCUAGUCUAGAAGUUGCUUGACCCCAUCUGGUUAUGAUGAUCUGAAAAUCCUUCCCCCUUCGCCAGGCAGCCAUACUGAGGAGAACACGUGUGUGUACAAUAUGCACAGCAAUGCUGCUUUAUUCAGAAUAUGAAUCCUUUUUGGCCACACAAUAAAAUAUAUCAUCGUACAGGGAGAAUCAGAAUUAUGACUGGAAAGACAGGAACACAGAGCCAAUAUAAAUACUCACUGAAAAAAUACUUUCAAAAUAGCUAAGUUCUCCAUAUAUUUGUUCCUACUGCCUGAAAGUUUAUCACAUUUGCUUAGCUCAGGACUUUUUUCAUACUUAUUUCUGUUUGCUGUCUGCCAGCAUAUUUCUGUAUGUGAGGCAUAAACUGUGUCUUGCUACA
This is a long non-coding RNA of Dromaius novaehollandiae (emu), 3870 nucleotides long. RefSeq lists it as uncharacterized. Lineage: Eukaryota; Metazoa; Chordata; Aves; Casuariiformes; Dromaiidae. The transcript is spliced from 2 exons. The record is from RefSeq and is a predicted model, not a curated record.